RNAcentral lists this ribosomal RNA (468 nucleotides) under uncultured bacterium. Its description in RNAcentral is "partial 16S ribosomal RNA". It matches the Rfam family "Bacterial small subunit ribosomal RNA", at positions 28 to 507 of the family's 1533-position model. The record is from RNAcentral.
GACGAACGCUGGCGGCGUGCUUAACACAUGCAAGUCGAACGGAAAGGCUCCAACUUGCUGGAGUACUCGAGUGGCGAACGGGUGAGUAACACGUGGGUGAUCUGCCCUGCACUUCGGGAUAAGCCUGGGAAACUGGGUCUAAUACCGGAUAGGACCGCACUUUGGUGUGUGUGGUGGAAAGGUUUUUCUGGUGUGGGAUGAGCUCGCGGCCUAUCAGUUUGUUGGUGGGGUAAUGGCCUACCAAGACGGCGACGGGUAGCCGGCCUGAGAGGGUGGACGGUCACAUUGGGACUGAGAUACGGCCCAGACUCCUACGGGAGGCAGCAGUGGGGAAUAUUGCACAAUGGGGGAAACCCUGAUGCAGCGACGCCGCGUGGGGGAUGAAGGCCUUCGGGUUGUAAACUCCUUUCGCUAGGGACGAAGCUUUUUGUGACGGUACCUGGAGAAGAAGCACCGGCUAACUACGUG